RNAcentral lists this unclassified non-coding RNA (50 nucleotides) under Sorangium cellulosum So ce56. RNAcentral's name for it is "sce_s2m_67". Lineage: Bacteria; Pseudomonadati; Myxococcota; Polyangiales; Polyangiaceae. The record is from RNAcentral.
GCCUCGCUGUCCCUCCUCGGUCCUCGCCGCCCUCGGCGUCGUCGCGCGGG